CGUAGGGUGCGAGCGUUAAUCGGAAUUACUGGGCGUAAAGCGUGCGCAGGCGGUUUUGUAAGACAGAUGUGAAAUCCCCGGGCUCAACCUGGGACCUGCAUUUGUGACUGCAAGGCUAGAGUACGGUAGAGGGGGAUGGAAUUCCGCGUGUAGCAGUGAAAUGCGUAGAUAUGCGGAGGAACACCGAUGGCGAAGGCAAUCCCCCUGGACCUGUACUGACGCUCAUGCACGAAAGCGUGGGGAGCAAACAGGAUUAGAUACCCUGGUAGUCCACGCCCUAAACGAUGUCAACUGGUUGUUGGGUCUUUACUGACUCAGUAACGAAGCUAACGCGUGAAGUUGAUCGCCUGGGGAGUACGGCCGCAAGGUUG
This 371-nucleotide ribosomal RNA is filed under the name uncultured organism. RNAcentral's name for it is "bacterial SSU rRNA". It matches the Rfam family "Bacterial small subunit ribosomal RNA", at positions 526 to 896 of the family's 1533-position model. The record is from RNAcentral.